UGGAACCUGAUGAACAACUUUAAAACUUUGGGUUUGAUUCCCAGUGAAUGCAUGAACUGAACAAACCUUAAAUGCAAUGCAAGUUGCUUUGAAUUAAAUGUCAAAUAUUAAUGCAUAGAGGUCAUUUAGAUACAGAACUCUUAAAUGGUACAUUGUUAGUCUCUUUCACAAGAGUCAACACAUCGUGAUCUCUCAGCACAUAUUGGAAGAGAUUGUAAAAUGCCUUAAGGCUCAGAGAGAAUGGAAAUGGUAACUAAAAACUGAAACUGGCCUUUUACAGUGGACUGAUAUUACAAAGGGACGUCAUUAAUAACACUACAGAACUGUUAAAGUGAUCAGUUUGGCCCCUUUAAUGCAGUUUUUAAAUCUCAGAUUGGUGUUCAUGUUUUUUAUUUUUAAUUCUAAAAUCACAUAUAUUCUACAGCACGGAUGAAGAUCUGUGGUUUGAUUGGUGCUGUGGCCUGGUGGUGAUCAGAUGAGCCUCAUUUGCAUUGCUAAACAGCAUACAGGUGAAUGUCAGUAACGAUCCUUGAUUACCGCAGCCAUGCUGACCUUUCACCACCAACAAAAUAUGUGCUGCACGAUCAGAGUGCAUCGUGUGAGACUGACUGUGCUGAUGUCCCUGAAGGUCAAACACUUAACCUCGCCGUCGCUGAAGUGUGGAACUGUGCAAAUGAAAUCGAAGAGUUUGAGGAGUUAGAACAUUCACAAGCUCAGAUGAGAGCACUCAUCACUGAGUAGUGUUCAAGAUCUCUGGUCUCAGACAAGGAGAUGAACCUUCAAUGUCCUUCACCGAUCAUCAUUUCAAGUGUGGUCUGACGUGACCGAAAGAUCAUAUCUGAGCGGGCGCUCCAGGUCUCAUUGUGCAUGGAAAGCGUCCUCUCUGCCGCAGACGGUUACACACAUCUCUC
This is a long non-coding RNA of Cyprinus carpio carpio, 911 nucleotides long. Lineage: Eukaryota; Metazoa; Chordata; Actinopteri; Cypriniformes; Cyprinidae. The record is from Ensembl.